GACGAACGCUGGCGGCGUGCUUAACACAUGCAAGUCGAACGGAAAGGCCCUGCUUUUGUGGGGUGCUCGAGUGGCGAACGGGUGAGUAACACGUGAGUAACCUGCCCUUGACUUUGGGAUAACUUCAGGAAACUGGGGCUAAUACCGGAUAGGAGCUCCUGCUGCAUGGUGGGGGUUGGAAAGUUUCGGCGGUUGGGGAUGGACUCGCGGCUUAUCAGCUUGUUGGUGGGGUAGUGGCUUACCAAGGCUUUGACGGGUAGCCGGCCUGAGAGGGUGGCCGGACACAUUGGGACUGCGUUACCACACAGACUCCUACGGGAGGCAGCAGUAGGGCAUAUUGCACCAUGAGCAGAAGCCUGAUGCAGCAACGCCGCGUGCGAGGUGGCGGCCUUCGGGUUGUAAACCGCUUUCGCCUGUGACGAAGCAUGAGUAGCAGUAAUGGGUAGAGAAGCACCGGCUAACUACGUG
RNAcentral lists this ribosomal RNA (468 nucleotides) under uncultured bacterium. RNAcentral's name for it is "partial 16S ribosomal RNA". It matches the Rfam family "Bacterial small subunit ribosomal RNA", at positions 28 to 507 of the family's 1533-position model. The record is from RNAcentral.